Molecule: ribosomal RNA, 453 nt
Filed under: uncultured Porphyromonadaceae bacterium
Lineage: Bacteria; Pseudomonadati; Bacteroidota; Bacteroidia; Bacteroidales; Porphyromonadaceae
Description: partial 16S ribosomal RNA
Rfam family: Bacterial small subunit ribosomal RNA
Source: RNAcentral
ACGGAAGGCAGCAGUGAGGAAUAUUGGUCAAUGGGCGGAAGCCUGAACCAGCCAAGUCGCGUGAAGGAUGAAGGUAUUAUGUAUUGUAAACUUCUUUAGACGCAGAGAAAUAAGCAGGUCGUGACCUGUGAUGCUAGUAUGCGUAGAAUAAGGAUCGGCUAACUCCGUGCCAGCAGCCGCGGUAAUACGGAGGAUCCGAGCGUUAUCCGGAUUUAUUGGGUUUAAAGGGUGCGCAGGCGGUUUGUUAAGUCAGCGGUUAAAUAGGGGAGCUCAACUCCAUCCCGCCGUUGAUACUGACAGACUUGAUUGCGGUUGAGGUUGGCGGAAUUCGUCGUGUAGCGGUGAAAUGCAUAGAUAUGACGAAGAACACCGAUUGCGUAGGCAGCUGACCAAGCCGUAAAUGACGCUCAUGCACGAAAGUGCGGGGAUCGAACAGGAUUAGAUACCCUGGUA